UUAAAACUAAAAGACAAUUUGCACCCCAAACUUGUGUUACAGCCUUAGCCGGUCACUUUUGACCGGUUAAGUGAAGAAAGUGUGCGUUUUGUUACGUAUAAUGAAGUUUGGGAUGUACUUAAACACCUUUUUUUGGUUUGGGGUGCAAAAGUUAACAAUGAUAUAAAGUUUGGGGUAUAAAUUGUCUUUUAGUCUAAAAGAAAUCAACAGGGGCAGUUGUAUAUUCUGCCUCGUAUAUAUAUUCGCCCCUAUGGGUAAGAUUACAUGACUAACUAUUUUAAUUAAUUAAUAAAUACUCCCUCCACUGCUAAAUAUAUGUGACGUUUAAGGUUUUUGCACACAGAUUAAUGAUGUUAAAACUCCUAAAAUUAAUAUGUAUUACCAAAAAUACCUUUGCAUGGAUAAAUGAAAAGUUAAAUUGUAAGUGAUAAGGAUAAGAGACAUAUUGUUAGAGGACAAAGAAAAUAUAGGAAUUAAAGAGAGUAUAUGGGUAAGAUAUCAAAAAAGAGAGAAAACGUAUCUUUAAAAAAAUAGGAGAUAAUUAAAGAGAGUAUUAAAUGUUAGGAGUAAUUAAGGAAAUAAUGUAAUCAAUUCUCCUAGAAAUGGUAAAAAACACUUUUAUCCCACUGUAGUUGUAGUGUUUUAAGCAAUUAGUCACUAUGCUUUUAAAAUAUUCAAUUAGUCUACUGUACUUUUAAAAAAUGUUCAAUCAAGCAAUUCUGUCCAAUUUCUUGGACGGACGUUAAAAAAAUUGGGUCAAUUUUCCUACGUGACUUUUGAAAAAAAAAACAAGUUAUUUCCUACGUGGCGUCAGCCAAAUUCCUAAUACUAUUGAGCCACUGCACUUUAAAAAAAUCCAAUUGACCCAUUGUGGUUUUAAAAAUAUUUUUAUGUUUUAUUUUCUUUCUUUUUCUUUAUCUAAAUAUUUAUAAUAUGUAUAAUAUUAAUAAAA
RNAcentral lists this long non-coding RNA (952 nucleotides) under Panax ginseng (ginseng). RNAcentral's name for it is "long non-coding RNA (PGIN_LNC008895)". The record is from RNAcentral. Lineage: Eukaryota; Viridiplantae; Streptophyta; Magnoliopsida; Apiales; Araliaceae.